GGAGACUGCAGCAGCAUAAGCUCCCGCUGACCAAGGCCACUGCCCAGCGACCUGCUCCCACCUAUCUGCCACAAAGGCCAAAGCUCAGCUUCCAAUGUGGCUCGUUCCUGGAGGAGGCCAGCUGACCGCUUGGUGGCAAAUAGGCCACACUGAGCUCCUUCCAUCCUGGAAAGGCCAGCAGCUCACUUGGAGGGGAAGAUAUUCCAAGCCUGGGUUUGCCUUUCCCACCCGCCUACCCAACCUCCACCAGCAACACGGUCUGCGAUCUCCCCUGUGUUUCAUCCCCUGACUCGGGCCCCCUCUGACCAUCACAGCAGAGGAGGUGGGGCAGGCCCACAAGCACAGGCCUCGGGCCAGAUCACACGACACCCACUCGGAAACUGGAGUCAACAGAGAGCCGCAGCUGCUCGUACCGGGCAAGUCUCUGCGGGGUGGGACCCUGUCCCAGGACGCAGGAUUGGCGCUGAGCUCGGGAUCUCUGUGUGCACCUGCAUCGCUGAUCUGGAAACUGGACGGCCCCAAACUGAGUCCAAGUCCUGCAUCUGCCAGUCGUGUGAACUUGGGCAUGAGAACGCCCUUCUCUCUGCAAGAAGAUGCCCGCCCUUACCAAGGUGACUUCCAAGGACUUCAGGAACCUGAAACCUCGUCCUUGAUCGACUCGUGGUGUUGAAGGCCCUGCCAAAGCCAGCCUGGCACUGCUCUCUGGGAUGGAGACGGGAGAUGGCAUUCCGGGUCUAAAUUCUCGUGGGUGGUUCUCAGCUGUCAGGAGGUGCCAGGCUUACCUGCCAGGACCGUGGUUUUCUGUCAUUGUAACUGUGGGAAUGGCUAAGUCCUGUCUAUGACAGUCACACGAAAUAAAGUGUUCUGUGCUCCAGG
RNAcentral lists this long non-coding RNA (876 nucleotides) under Homo sapiens (human). RNAcentral describes it as "HSALNT0145106". The record is from RNAcentral. Lineage: Eukaryota; Metazoa; Chordata; Mammalia; Primates; Hominidae.